AGCGGAUGCUGGUGGAGGGGCGGACCAUUGCGGCGCUUCUGCCGCUGCCGCCACAGGGUGCGCGGGGGUUGAUGGCCUUCCGUGGGCUUC
Molecule: transfer RNA, 90 nt
Filed under: Gluconobacter albidus
Lineage: Bacteria; Pseudomonadati; Pseudomonadota; Alphaproteobacteria; Acetobacterales; Acetobacteraceae
Description: tRNA-Arg
Source: RNAcentral